Long non-coding RNA from Peromyscus californicus insignis, 955 nucleotides. RefSeq lists it as uncharacterized. The record is from RefSeq and is a predicted model, not a curated record. The transcript is spliced from 4 exons. NCBI's taxonomy places the organism in Eukaryota, Metazoa, Chordata, Mammalia, Rodentia, Cricetidae.
UUAGGGCUGCUAUUGUUUUAGGGCAAGCUUGAAUUGUGAAUCACGGCAUCGCUAUAGCAACUAAGUACAAAAGGAAGCGAGGCAAGAGGCCUCCUCUCGGCAGGGACCUGCGCUCUUCCAAGGGAGAGCAUCUGCCCCAUUUUGACACCUGCGGUCCCAUCUCUGCUGACAGUUGGGGAGAGGAAUGAGCGGGGAGCCAAAAGUCAAGGGGCAGAGUGCUCCUAAUGCUUCUGCCUCCAGAGGCCAGGACCAUAUACAGUUAACUGGUACUGGAGUCAGGCCGAAAGUAAGACCUUCCCUUUGGAGAAAGAACUGCUUCGGUUCACAAAUGCACUUCCUUCUAGGGGCCAUGGGCUGCCUGGGCGAUUGAAUGGAGCCGGUUAGAGCAAGGAAGGAGACAGGCAGCCCUACUUGAGGACUAUGGUUCCACAAAUCAGUGUGGAGAGGGGGCUUGCCUGUGUGCUCUCUGAAGAGGUACAGAAGUCAAGUUACAAGGUCUUAAAGGAGCAGAGAGAGGGAUCGCAGCAGGCAUGGCUGCAGAGACAUAUUGGCCGGGAGAAAAAAGGAAACCAGGACCCAAAGAGAACAUACUAGGGAAGAAGCAUGGCUUACUUUCACGAUGCUGUGGAUGUGGAAAAAUCUGAGAUUUGUUUGUUAUAGUAGCAAGGACACCAGAGUUGCAGAGAAAAGCAUUCAUGCUUAGAUCCCUGCUCCUCAAGGUCUAAGUUGUGAUGUCACUCUUUAUCAUGGGGGACAUGCUCCUCCCAGACCCAGGAGAGCCCGUGAAUCUUUAGCACACGGAGAAGCUUGAGAAGCAAGCCUGAAGAGGUGUGUGUUAUCCAACUUGUCCUUCAGAAGAACCAGUUGUAAGACCUUGAGUGACAUUCCUCUGUUGAGACGCAUGAGGGCGCUCAAGCCAACUGACGAUGUGGAGAUGUUUCCUAAAUUAAAAAGG